RNAcentral lists this transfer RNA (76 nucleotides) under Chloroflexaceae bacterium. RNAcentral's name for it is "tRNA-Gln". It matches the Rfam family "tRNA". From Rfam's summary of the family: Transfer RNA (tRNA) molecules are approximately 80 nucleotides in length. Their secondary structure includes four short double-helical elements and three loops (D, anti-codon, and T loops). Lineage: Bacteria; Bacillati; Chloroflexota; Chloroflexia; Chloroflexales; Chloroflexaceae. The record is from RNAcentral.
ACAGGAGUCGGCUCAAUGGGAGGACACGAUGCGCUGAAUAUCGCUGAUCCUGGUUCGAAUCCAGGCUCCUGUUCCA